Molecule: long non-coding RNA, 571 nt
Organism: Homo sapiens (human)
Lineage: Eukaryota; Metazoa; Chordata; Mammalia; Primates; Hominidae
Source: Ensembl
ACACACAAGCUUGCAGCCUGCAAGACAGCUUUGCAGAGGGAAAUCUACUGCCAAGUUUUCAGCUUUUCCAGGAGCUAGGCGGCUUUCUUCAGGAAAACUCUUUGAGCCCUCUCAGGAUGAAGUCCAACAGGGAUUGGAUCUGCAUCAAGUAGCAUCCAAACACAAGGACUUAGAGGGUGUGAACAAAGAAGGUCUGUUGGAAGAGAGGAAUUGAAAUUGACAAGAUGAACACGGAUGCUGGGAUGAGUCUGCCAGCAGCAGAUAUGUCAGUGCCCUAAAGAGGUACUGAUCAGUGCCCUAAAGAGGUAAUGGGAGCGAUAUAAGGAGACAAACAAACUGUAUGGGUGCCCCGAAGGUGCGUGCAACCACGGAAUGGGAAACUGGAGGAACACUUGGUUGCAAAACAUGGGCCCGGUCCCUCUGGUAUGAGCCAUGAGCCAGCUGAGCCUGAGUGCAAAGAUGGAGAGAUGGCUGACCAGAGUCACAAUGACAUCAACCCCCAUAACUGGGGGCAACUCAAGAAAACCACACAGGAAGCUAGAAAACUAUGGGAGCAUCAAGGCCAGACAAA